This 884-nucleotide long non-coding RNA is filed under the name Sorghum bicolor (sorghum). RNAcentral describes it as "long non-coding RNA (SBIC_LNC001485)". The record is from RNAcentral. Lineage: Eukaryota; Viridiplantae; Streptophyta; Magnoliopsida; Poales; Poaceae.
GUCCCCAAACUUACUAGCCGAUCCACACAAGGUUCAAAUUACGUUUGUUUGUGGCUGCUAACAACUAUGCACAUGGCAUGUAGAUCUCAUAUGUCUCCCUCUAGGCUUUACUAGACCCAACAACUUAUAUGGAGAUAGCAUAUAUCUGUUAUAUGACCGGUGUCACGUAUGAAUGUCGGGCCCGACCCGGUGGCUAGGCUUGCCGACGCCCAGGGGCCUAGAUGCGCAGAUUGGGCACUAUUAGAUUUUUUAUUUUUUUAAUUAUAUGAUCUUGAUUGGCUUGUAAUAGAAGGGAUAAAUACCCCCUUGAUAGAUUGGAAUUAAGAAAGGAAGGCAACAUUUGUUGCCCGGCCUCAAGGGCCACCAACGUGACCUCCAUCUUCCUCACGUGCCCACCCACGCUCAGCAUCGUCGCCACCGCUCGCGACCACCACGGCUCUAGCUUCGCGUGUUCCUCGUCCUCGUCCCCCAGUCUCCUAUCCCUAUGCUCUUCAUAGCCGCGGUAAGAUCAAGUACCCUAUCAAUAGCGCUCUCCUUUCUUGCUGAAUGCAAACUCGCGCAAAAGGGACUUAGAUUGUGCACAUAGUUUCAAAAAAAAAGAAAAAAUUGCUAAAGGAUCUUGAUUGACUUGUAAUAGGAGGGAUAAAUACCCCUUUGAUAAUUGGAAUUAAGAAAGAAAGGCAAUAUUUGUUGCCUGGCCUCAUGGGCCACCAACGUGACCUCCAUCUCCCUCGUGUGCACAUCCACGCUCGUUGUCGCCGCCACGGUUCAUGGCCACCACGGCUCUAGCUCGCCGUGUUUCUCAUCCUCGUCCCCUGGUUCCUACGCUCUUUAUAGCCGCGGUGGGGUUAAGGAUUCUAUCAAUAGCGCUCUUCUAACUUUCU